AGAGUUUGAUCCUGGCUCAGAGUGAACGCUGGCGGCGUGGAUUAGGCAUGCAAGUCGAGCGAUCUUUCAUUUUUUUUGAAGUGGUAGCAAUACUGUUUCAAGAGAAAUGUUUGAUAGCGGCAAACUGGUGAGUAACGCGUGAGUAACUUACCUCUAAAUCGGAUAUAGCCUGGCGAAAGUCAGGGUAAUCUCUGAUGUGUCCAAUUUCCCAUAAGGGGUUUUGGGUAAAGUUAGCCCGCAAGGGCUGAUGUUUAGAGAUGGACUCGCGUCCUAUCAGCUAGUUGGUAGGGUAAUGGCCUACCAAGGCAUUUGACGGGUAGCUGGCCUGAGAGGGUGGUCAGCCACACGGGGAUUGAGAUACUGCCCCGACUCCUACGGGAGGCUGCAGUCGAGGAUAUUUAGCAAUGGGCGAAAGCCUGACUAUGUGACGCCGCGUGAGGGAUGAAGGUCUUCGGAUCGUAAACCUCUUUCGAUGGGAAAGAAAUCUCCGCCAUAAAUAGUGGCGGAGGCUGACGGUACCCAGAGAAGAAGCCACGGCUAACUCCGUGCCAGCAGCCGCGGUAAUACGGAGGUGGCGAGCGUUACUCGGAUUCAUUGGGUGUAAAGGGCAGGUAGGUGGCUAUGUAAGUUGGAGGUGAAAUCCUUUGGCUUAACCAAAGAACUGCCUUCAAAACUGCAUAGCUUGAGGCCAAAAGAGGAGAGCGGAAUUCCCGGUGUAAGGGUGAAAUCUGUAGAUAUCGGGAGGAACACCAGUGGCGAAGGCGGCUCUCUGGUCUGGUCCUGACACUGAGCUGCGAAAGCUAGGGGAGCAAACAGGAUUAGAUACCCUGGUAGUCC
RNAcentral lists this ribosomal RNA (837 nucleotides) under uncultured bacterium. RNAcentral's name for it is "bacterial SSU rRNA". It matches the Rfam family "Bacterial small subunit ribosomal RNA", at positions 8 to 796 of the family's 1533-position model. The record is from RNAcentral.